Molecule: long non-coding RNA, 1714 nt
Filed under: Helianthus annuus (common sunflower)
Lineage: Eukaryota; Viridiplantae; Streptophyta; Magnoliopsida; Asterales; Asteraceae
Description: hypothetical non coding rna
Source: RNAcentral
AGUUCACUUUCUUUCCCUCCCAUGGCUUCACCACCGACAAUUAACCUCAUCUGGGUAGUCUUCUCCAGCGUACCCAUCGGAGAUCCUUGCUAUUCUUAGAACAUCACAGCUAACAGAACUUGAAGACGAUUGUUGCAGAAUAGGUCAAAAUUAGGGUUUGUAUUUUUUCAAAACAAACAGAGAUUAUGAGCACCUCCGUACAAUUUCCAGAAUAAAAAAUCGUGACCACCAUCUUCAACCAAACAGAGCACACGAUGGCGACGACCAACGGUAAUUUUUUUAUUUGUAUUAUAGAUCACUGAUGACAUGAUUAUUGUACAUUAUCUUUGUGGUAGGUAGAUUUAGGGGUUUUGCUAAUUUAUUUGAAGUAUUGUUGAGUUUUGCAUUAUAAAUGAGUCAUUUAUGUGGAUUUCUUUGUUUUGAUGGCGAUUUCGAGAUUUAUUGAUGCUGAUUAAGCUUUUUUGGGUGAAGAGAAAAGGUUUACUUUUUAGUCAAAAUAAGUGCAUUUGUAUUAGAAGUUUGAUAUGAAUCACAGCAACAAAAUGUUAUGAAAAGUCUUGGAGUAUAGGCUCAUAAUCAAAAAGAUUGAUGUCUUCAGUUUUGUUCGUCCUCAGUUUUGUUUUAAGGGCUGAUUAGGCAAAUUUGAGUACAAGAAGGAGUUUGACUUCAAUGAAAGAAGAAUUUCUUAAGAAGUUGAGGUUGUUGAAAGAAUUUUAUUUUGUUGAUUAAUGGCAUCCAUUUGAUUACCCCCAUCUCUCUCUCUCUCUCUUUCCGUUCAUCAUACACACUACCACUUGCCUUUUCCCCCAAACUUCAUCUCUACACACCACCGGGACAUCAACUGGCCAGCAAAUCGUCGCUCCUACCAGGCCACCACCAGACCCCCGGGGGGCUGAAUCAUACUCGACAAUCAACAAAUAGUCUAAGCGGUCGUGGUAUUGUUGUACAAUCAGCAUGUUAGGGUUUUUUUUCUUCUCGGGUUGACACGUUUCUUGGUAAGUUUUUAAUCGUUCAUGUUUUGAUUCUUGCAUAAUUAGCGAUGAGAUAUUUAGUACAUGUUCUGCUACUUUUAUGUUGACGGGAUUACGUGCCAACUGUUCUCGAUAAGGUUAGUACAAAUAUGGUGGUCGGCGGGAGCAUGGUUAAUCUAAGAUUGUGGGAUACAUCAAGUUAGUUGCUGGUAAAUAAUUAGUACUUAUUGCAGGUCGAGGACUUUUAAACAAAAAUCACUUAAGAGUCCUCAUGAUAUUGUACUUACAUGUAUAAUCAUUUUUUAUUGUUCCGCAAGAAACAAAACACCCCGUUGGUUAACUCAUUUUGAUUGUUGGAUUUAGUGGUUUGAUUAGGGCUUUGAAUGUUGUUUUGUUUAGGUGAUUAUAAGCCGAUAAUGUUUCCAGGUUUAGUUCUGAGCCGAUUAUCAUUUUGCCAGGUGACACCCAUAUUUGUUGUUGCUAGCACGGUCUAAUAUUAAGGACUACCAUAACUACACAGUUGCACGCGUGCUGUUCUUGCGCAUAUGGGCGGAACAUUAUGGGGAUCUAUGAGGCACAUUAUACCAGCUUCCACAUCAACACUUAGCACCCCCGCUGCAACGCGGGGGGUGCUUCCUUCUAGUUUUUGUAAAAUAUUAACUUUCAAUUAUUAGAAUUUUCUACGGAUAGAUUUUGUUCGAGUCUAUAUCUCUAUAUAUAUUUUUAAAAGAUAAACUUCAUUC